AUCAUCACUACACCACUCCCCUCCCACAAAAGCUGACCUGACCUGACAGGAGCUGGACUCUGAUUAGCAUGAGGAGACUGCUGCUUGACCAACAUUUAUUGCUCAUCACCCAUAUUGCAGUGCAUCUGGAGUCACGUGCAGGCUGGACCAGGCUCUUGGAGGGGAGGCUGUGGCCUUAAUCAGGAUGAAUAAAGACCACUGGAAGCAAUGCUGUUGUGCAGGCAAAUCAUACCAUACAAAGAUUUAACAGAGUGAACAAAGCAAGAAAUACAAAGUUACAACUGCAGAGAAAGUGGACAAAGAGCAAGAUCAACAUUAUAUUUCAAAUAUAAGAGGUCCAUGCAGAAUUCUAUUAACAGUGAGGAAGAAAC
This is a long non-coding RNA of Stegostoma tigrinum, 371 nucleotides long. RefSeq lists it as uncharacterized. The record is from RefSeq and is a predicted model, not a curated record. Lineage: Eukaryota; Metazoa; Chordata; Chondrichthyes; Orectolobiformes; Stegostomatidae. The transcript is spliced from 4 exons.